Molecule: RNA transcript, 1498 nt
Organism: Cercocebus atys (sooty mangabey)
Lineage: Eukaryota; Metazoa; Chordata; Mammalia; Primates; Cercopithecidae
Gene name: transcription factor Dp-1 pseudogene
Exons: 1
Source: RefSeq, a predicted model, not a curated record
CUCAGCCCAGGGCUGGGACCCCACCAGGGCUGGGACUGCCCGGCCUGGCCCCCGCCCGCGCCUCCCCGCGCCACCCCGCCCCUCCCAGCGCCACCCAGCGCCCCACACCGUGCGCUCUCCACGCACCCGCCGGCGCGGCCAGACCGGGUAGCCAGAAAAAUCAUUUUUCUUCGCUGGGAAGGUGAACAUUUGUAGCAUUGAUUUCCCGGAUCUGGUAACAUGGCAAAAGAUGCCGGUCUUAUUGAAGCCAACGGAGAACUCAAGGUCUUCACAGGCCAAAACCUUAGUCCCGGAAAAGUCGUGGUGUCCCUCGUGGCCGUUCACCCCUCCACCGCCAACCCGCUCGGGAAGCAGCUCUUGGCAAAAACCUUUGGACAGUCCAAUGUCAACAUUGCCCAGCAAGUGGUAAUUGGUACGCCUCAGAGACCAGCAGCGUCAAACGCCCUGGUGGUAGGAAGCCCACACAUCCCCAGCACUCACUUUGCCUCUCAGAGCCAGCCUUCCGACUCCUCACCUUGGGCUGCCGGGAAGCGCAACAGAAAAGGAGAGAAGAAUGGCCAAGGGCCUGCGGCACUUCUCCAUGAAAGUCUGCGAGAAGGUUCAGAGGAAUGGGACCACUUCCUACAACGAAGUGGGGGACGAGCUGGUCUCGGAGUUCAGUGCUGCCGACAACCACAUCUUACCAAACGAGUCAGGUUAUGACCAGAACAGCAUACGACGGCGCCUCUACGAUGCCGUAAACGUGCUGAUGGCCAUGAACAUCAUCUCCAAGGAGAAAAAGGAGAUCAAGUGGAUUGGUCUGCCCACCAACUCGGCUCAGGAAUGUCAGAACUUAGAGGUGGAAAGACAGAGGAGACUUGAAAGAAUAAAAGAGAAACAGUCUCAACUUCAAAACUUAUUCUACAGCAAAUUGCCUUCAAGAACCUGGUGCAGAGAAACCGGCACUCAGAGCAGCAAGCCAGCCAGCCGCUGCCACCCAACUUGGUCAUCCACCUGCCCUUCAUCAUCAUCAACACCAGCAAGAAGACCAUCAUCGACUGCAGCAUCUACAAUGACAAUUUCGAGUGUCUGUUUAAUUUUGACAACACAUUUGAAAUUCACGACGACACAGAAGCGCUGAAGCAGAUGGGCAUGGCCUGCGGGCUGGAGUCUGGGAGCUGCUCUGCUGAAGACCUUAAAAUGGCCAGAAGUCUGGUCCGAAAGGCUCUGGAGCCGUACGUGACAGAAAUGGCUCAGGGAACGUUGGAGGCGUGUUCAUCACGAUGGCAGGUUCCACGUCUAACGGCACGAGGUUCUCUGCCAGUGACCUGACCAACGGUGCAGCUAGGACGCUGGCCACAAGCCCCGAUGGGUCUCAGUACAGCGGCUCCAGGGUGGAGACCCUGGUGUCUUAAGUCGGGGAGGAGGACGAGGAGGUUAAUGUCUUCAACGAGAAUGAGGAGGACGACUGACGUUCUCCCCACUUCAAAUUCAGCUUCAGGAAAACGUUUACGGGAAA